Molecule: ribosomal RNA, 821 nt
Filed under: uncultured bacterium
Lineage: Bacteria
Description: bacterial SSU rRNA
Rfam family: Bacterial small subunit ribosomal RNA
Source: RNAcentral
GGGGCAGCACGAUGUAGCAAUACAUUGGUGGCGACCGGCGCACGGGUGAGUAACGCGUAUGCAACCUACCUAUCAGAGGGGAAUAACCCGGCGAAAGUCGGACUAAUACCGCAUAAAACAGGGGUUCCACAUGGAAAUAUUUGUUAAAGAAUUAUCGCUGAUAGAUGGGCAUGCGUUCCAUUAGAUAGUUGGUGAGGUAACGGCUCACCAAGUCCACGAUGGAUAGGGGUUCUGAGAGGAAGGUCCCCCACACUGGUACUGAGACACGGACCAGACUCCUACGGGAGGCAGCAGUGAGGAAUAUUGGUCAAUGGGCGAGAGCCUGAACCAGCCAAGUCGCGUGAAGGAUGAAGGAUCUAUGGUUUGUAAACUUCUUUUAUAUGGGAAUAAAGUGAGGAACGUGUUCCUUUUUGUAUGUACCAUAUGAAUAAGCAUCGGCUAACUCCGUGCCAGCAGCCGCGGUAAUACGGAGGAUGCGAGCGUUAUCCGGAUUUAUUGGGUUUAAAGGGUGCGUAGGUGGUUAAUUAAGUCAGCGGUGAAAGUUUGUGGCUCAACCAUAAAAUUGCCGUUGAAACUGGUUGACUUGAGUAUAUUUGAGGUAGGCGGAAUGCGUGGUGUGGCGGUGAAAUGCAUAGAUAUCACGCAGAACUCCGAUUGCGAAGGCAGCUUACUAAACUAUAACUGACACUGAAGCACGAAAGCGUGGGGAUCAAACAGGAUUAGAUACCCUGGUAGUCCACGCAGUAAACGAUGAUUACUAGCUGUUUGCGAUACACAGUAAGCGGCACAGCGAAAGCGUUAAGUAAUCCACCUGGGGAGUA